Long non-coding RNA from Cuculus canorus (common cuckoo), 10705 nucleotides. RefSeq lists it as uncharacterized. NCBI's taxonomy places the organism in Eukaryota, Metazoa, Chordata, Aves, Cuculiformes, Cuculidae. The transcript has 7 exons. The record is from RefSeq and is a predicted model, not a curated record.
UGGCUCUGCCCGCAGCGCCGUGCGGGGCUGUGCAGGGGCAGGUUACCCGCACGCACAGGCUGCGCAGCCCCGCACCGAGCUGAGCCAGGGCGGCCGCGGGUCCGGGCAGCCCCGCACGGCUCAACUGCAAUAAUACCGCCUUAUUCUGGGUGAAAACAAAUGAUCUGGGCGGUACAGGCUGUGAAUAGGAUUUAACAGCUGGAAGGAAUCCAACACAGCAUGAGAAAGAAUCACACAGAAUGAUAGGUGUUGGAAGUGACCUCUGGCAUUCAUCUACUCCAACCUCCCUGAUAAAGCAGAUUCACCUGCAGCCAGCUGCACAGGAACGUGUCCAGGCUGCCAGGGCACCUGUGUUCCUAUGAGCACAGAUGAACCAUUACAUCCUCUAGGACUUUGUGACCUUGCAACAGUGGGCUCUUCUGGUGUAGAUCUGGAGAUUUGGUACAGACCAUUCUGUAAAACCACUCCUAGCUGAUGCACGCUACAGACUUUAACAGGAUCCGUAUCAUUGCUGUUUUUGAGGAAAAAAGCAAGGUCUUGUCUACAGCACUUCAAAGCACCAGCCUAGCAAGUAAACAGAGAAUAAAGAGAUAAUCCCUGCCUCAGGGUUUGUGAUCUUCACAGGACUUUGCAGGCUGCAGCAAACAAGCUCUUCCACACUCUGCACCUUUGAGGUCCAAGCCAACUCUAGGCUGAGAGGGAACAGCAUCAUUAACCGAGAACAAGGUGUUAAUCUCCUUAUUAGACUCCGAGGUGUGAUAAAGAAGCCCUCAUUUCUUCAACUUCUGCAAUAUGUAAACAGUUGUUACUGGCAUAGAAAUGCAGUUUAUUGGAAGUGUGGCUGUAUUUACGCAUCGCCCAGUUUUGCUUCUGGUGCUGUGACAUAGGAGAGCUGCCCUCUGAGCACCAGUGGAAGGCUGUGGACUUGCCGGCUCGAUGUUAUAGAUGGUAUCGCAGUGAUGGUAAACCACCAACUCAGUGCUGGCUUGGAGGCAAAGAUACACAAAGUGAGUACGUGGGGUGGUUGUUAAGGACUCUACUUGUGAACCUCAUCAAAAGCACAUUAAUUUCAGAGAGAAAAUAGGCUUACAAUUAUUUCAGUGUACUUCAGAUUAGUCCCUGAGACAUUCUUGUUUAAAUUGUUAAUGAAAAUAUUAAGGAUCAUGGUGUAAGGCAAUACUAAAUGCAGGAACAGAAACUUACUUUAUAGCCACUAGCAAUACUACAUUACUACUUAAAUAUACAGGAACAAAUGUUUUAUCCCUUAUAUAGGUGCAUCCCCAUUGACAUUUGCUGUAAGAAUGACAGUAAGAAUCACAUAAGAAAGAUCUAUUUAACAGUUUGUUUCUAAAGUACAUUUAGUUGAGGGUCCCUUGACUUAGUACUUACCUCUCAAAGGUAUUUCCUAUGUUAAAAAGUCAGUGUGGCAGUCAGCCUGCCAUCCUUCUGUUCCAAAAAUAAGCAGCACAAAACAAGCUAGCAGCUAGGAACCAAAUUCUGAAAUAGCUCCAGCCUAGGAAAACAGCCGGCCUGGCUUAAGCUCUUGCAAAAAGUACAAGCUUCAGACUACCGAUAAAAGGAACACGUUUAUCUUCCAAGAGAGUAUCGAUAUGCAUCUCAGAUACGUCUAACUGAAUCAAUAUACCGUCAAAGUAAAUCCCAUAGUAGGAGUUGCUGAAACAGUGACAAUCCACCAGUUGAUAACAAUGUCCUAAAAGCUAUUCUAACAGUGACACUUGAAGGUGAAGUUCUGACAGCAAUUUUUAGAUCAGAUCAGAUAUUUGAGCAGGCAGCUGGCAGGUCUUUCUCUAGUGCAGGUGGAGUUAAUGCCUUCUAGUCACCAGGCCCUAUUUUGUCAGUCAUCUCGGAGUAGCACAAAACUUGGUGAUUGUUUCUGCUAGAUCACCUGCUUGCUUCGACUUGAGGAAUUCAGGUUUCGUUUUUCCACUUGCUUUAGAUGUUAUGGUAGGAAAGACUUCAGUCAUAAGUCUGCUAUUUCUUAGUACAUCUGGACAACGUAUUAUUGGAUUCAAAAGCUAAAUUAAUAAGAGGGGGAAAGGGGGGGGGCAGAGGUUCCAUUAAAGUGAAAUGCAGUUUUUUCUGUUUUUCUAAAAAAAGUAAAUAAAUUCAGUUUCUGUUAAAGCAAAAUAUUUUCUUAAGCCUGAAUGUUUCACUUUACAGUUAUUUUGUCCUCUAAAAUAUUUUAAAUGAGAACUUCAUUUUCAAAACAAAAAGUGAAUGUUUUUAUUUGGAAAUGUCAAAAUAAGCUCUAAAUUGACUUAUUUUUACCCUUAAAGCUAUUUUACAGAUUCACAGUUUUGGAAAAUAAUUAUCUUUUUUGUCUGAAAAUGUUGAUGUGAAUUUAUUAUUUGCAUAAAAUGCCUUUUUAAUGCCUUUUCCUCACAUUUCCAACAUAACUGCAGAUAUGUCUAGUAGUGGGGGACUGAUUCUUAUUUUCUGUCCACAUAAGACUUGCAAAAUGCACAUUUCUUAAUACAUUGCAAGGAGUCAUAAUGGAAAUUGCCCUGACACGUAUCAGACUAUUAUUUUCUCUUUGUUCUGUAAUUUAUACCAUAUACCUAAAUUCUAUGUCCUGUUUUAUCUCCUCGUUUUGUUUUCAUUGUAUUUGACACAGAUAUCAUUCAGACUUACCUAUUAAAAAAUAACUGAAUUUUUGAAGCUCAGUUUGUUUUCUAUUUUUCUCCUGGGUUUGUAACUGAUUAUAUUUUAAUGUAUGCUCUAAACCUAGACUGACAGAGUUUCAAAAUACUGCCUUACUAAAUAGCAUUCUUCUCCAUUUUGCUUUUCCUAACAUAACGACUACUUCAUUAUUAAAGAUGCUUCUGGUUAGAAUGCUUCUGGUCUGCUUUCAAACUGCAUUGGUUCAGCUUUAUAUUGUAAUUUAAACUCUAGUUUCUGUAUACUUGUCUCAUUGCUUAUAUAUAGCUGUAUUUUUUUUAAAGACUAGGGAAUCUGAAUAUUAAAAUUAAGAUACCUUAUUAGAACUUAAUUUCAAAGGAUUUAAGGUUAUCUCAUAACUCAAAAAUAUAUUCAUAAGUGUGUUCUGUAUAGAUAAAUAGGUGUAACUGUGAUAUAGACAGAGAUGUAUGGUGUUACUUAAAUUUUUUUCAAAGUUAUCAUAGUUGUGUGUGGACAGGAUUAAUUUCUCAUCAUUUUCAUAGCAUUCCUGAUUGUAAUUCAGAUCAAAGAUUGCACUUUUAUUAUAUAGAAACACUUCAGGUUUUGUGAAAAACUGCUUGGUUGGACCGAAUAGCAAGUUGUGCUGUGAACACCAGAAUUAAAGCAGCCAGGUACCAUCCCAAUGUGUGUUUCUUGGUUGACUGGCUUUGGCUUUAAAAAAGAUGCAACUUCAGAAUAAGGCUUUUCUUCUGACAAAUACAUUCAUCAAGUUUAAGCCUUGUAUGACUUAGAUGGGGUUCUCUAGUGGCUUUUAAGGGCUGAUCUCUUUCUGUAACCUUUUCCUUGAUUGAUCUUGCAAUGUCCAGCUGCCUAUUUUUACAAAGCUGGCAGGAACAUAAUUAUUGUUGAAAACUCUCAGCCUGUGUCAAAUCUGGUCGAACCAGCUGGCUGGUUUUCAAAAGUCUUUGCAGAGUAGGAGAUGCUCAAGAGGCACACAGAGACAAUACGACAGUAUGAGCUUUCUUACGUUGGAAAUCAGUAAAAUCAGCAAUAGCCACAAACUUUAUUCCUGAAAAUCCUGUAAAUUCUAUAAAGCUGUGUCAAAAAAAACUCCAGUUAUUAGGCUGGAAAAUGUCGUGACGGACUUCUCUGUUCCAACAGCUUUCAGUGGGAUGCUCUUAUUAAGCCUCUCCACCUCCUUGUCGUGCCAAAAUCUGCUUAUUAUACUUGAGAAAUCCAGCGUGGUCUUAAACCACUAUUUCACACAAUCAUACAGUGGGGGCAUUUCUUUCCUCUGCUGUUCUUUUUCUUUCAUGAAUUUGCCAAUGUGGCAAAUGGCUUUGAUGCUUUGGACACUGCAGGAACAGGGCUUGUAAUGUGAGGAAAGUCUGAAGUGUCUUCCGUUCAGCCCUCCUGGCAAUAAAGUCUUCUUCCUUUUAAUGUAACUUUGAAACUCAUUGCCAAUAUUUUACCUUGAGGCUUAGCAGAUUCUGGAAACUCAAGAGAUAUUUCUAAUUUUAGGUCCAACAUGUCUUGUAAUGUAAGGAAACCUCCUUAGUUUGCAGAGACCAUUAGUAAUGUAUGCUGGCAGACUAGCUGCACUCAGUGAAGGUUUCAGUGAUGUUCCACCAACUUUCAUUUAACAUUUGUGGUUCUGUGGCCAGAAUAUGUGGUCAGGGUAUUAAUUCACAGCAUCUCUGGGGAGCGGCAUCCUGGGUGGGCUGUAAAAGGGAGUGAUGGAAUUAAUCGUUACUUAAAUUCACCUUUCAGCAGACAGCCCUGUCCCUGAAGGAUCUAUCUCUUAGGGAACAGCAACAAAGAAAAUACUGAUUUAUGAAAGCUAACCCAGCAGGAUAGACACUGAUGUGUUAUUUGCUAGAAUGGCCCUUCCCUGGAGUAUUUGCAUGACAGACAUGUUUGGGGAUGAGAGAGCAACCCUCCUUUGCUAGAGCUGCUUCUUUUUCUAAAAUUCCACUUCAUAUCCAACAUUUGAAGUUUGCUGUGGCUUAAGUAUUAAUGCAAUGGGAGAAAACCAGACAAGCAUAGGAAUUGAGUCUUGACUAUUGACACCUCAUUAGCAGCACUACUCAGUAUGAUAGUUUCCUAACUAAAUUUGCUUGCAACGGUAUUGGUUUUGUACUUAAUUGCAUGAAAAAUCUCAUUAAGGUUUGUACUAAUAGUAUUUUUUUUUUCUCGAUCAAUGUUCUAGUUAUAGGAUACAUAGUUCAUAUAAGGCCAGUAAAAUACAUCAUCCUCCAGUAAGCACAGAUCUAUUCAAAGGGUUUUUUCUUUAUACCUUGGUCCAGCUGACCACGGAGUGGGAGAAUGGGUGAGGCUCGGAGGUGGUGAUAGCAAGAGAGACCAAAAGUAAAGCUGCAGGAUUACAGCAUUACUGUCAGCCAUUUCAACUUGAGCUUCUGUAUUUUUACCAGCUGCUUCUUGAAUAUACUGUGGAGCAGUCUGAGGAAAGAAAUAAAACCUGGAGCAGGCACUAUCUCACGCAGAACACUGUGGCUCCAGUUUUAGAAAUGAAAAUAAAUAUUAAGCACAUGUAUAUAUAUCUCAUCAUAUGCCAUGGCAGAGAGAGUCACAAUGAUGUCUCAGGAUUUCUCUGUGGUGUUGCUGGCAUGCAGUAGAGUAAUCGCCACAUUAUCCAGCAGAAUUUGAAUGGAACUGAGUCAAUUCAAUUGGCUCCUGUCUUUAGGGCAUUUCUUUACCCACAGCCCUUGUAGCCUUUAAGGUCCUGCUGUGCAAAUGUAAUGUUCUACACAAAAAUGCAAGCUGUUGGGGGAAUCGGAUUCCAAAAUCUUCCCUGGUUUACCAUUACAUACUGUAACGCCCACACUAGUGGUAGUCCAGUUUCUGUUUGUCACUUUCUUCCACAAUGUCUUAAUAUCCUUAUUUCAGAAGCUACUGUAUGGCAGCCUGGCUGGUCCAGCCAUUAAGCCCUAGAAAUGUCCUUCAUGGAUUUGACCAUAUUUAGGCCCUGAGCUUUUUUCUUGCAAAUUUUUGUCCAUAUCUGCCCACAGACAUUGCUGCAUUGCCUUUACCAAAUGACUUGUGUCCUCAUCCACUCUGAAACAUUCUUUUCUCCUUCAUAGAUCAAAUGCUAUUGACUAUUAGGUACCAUUUUGGCCUUUAGUUCUGUUUUAUUUUUGUGAAGAAGUGCUACAAUGUAAUGAGUUUAAAAUGCUACUUCGUUAUUUUAGGUUUGUAUUUAACAUAAGUGCAGUCUUCUAAAAUUACAGAUUGCUUUCUUAAUUCUAGUGGUAGAUGUGACAAAAUGGCCCACCAAACUUAUAUAAGGUGCUCUAUUUGAAAAUCAAAAUUGCUGUUUGAGUUAUACUGAGUAAGAUUGAAAUACUUCCAGAACAUUUUAAUUACUCCUAAAUGAUAGAAAAAUAUUUUCUUAAAAUACAACUUUAAAAAUCUACAGAAAUAGUUGUAGAAUUCUGGAUGGUUAAUUAUUCCUUCUAUUCCUGGCUUUUUGCAAAAGUAUAAAAAAAUCCCACCGACUUGUUCUACUUAAAACUGCUGAUGUAACUCACAUUAAACAAAUUAAAUACAAAUUUGGUUAGACUGCAUUUCAAAUCAUAUCAUAAAACUAAAAUGUGGAUAAAGCAAAUAAGCUUUCAAGAGUAAAAGUUCUUAGAAUUAAGUUUUCCAAUGAAUGCUGGAGCCAUGACUAUUUCUCACACAGGAUCCUUCACCUCAACUGAUCAUCAGCUCUAACAGAGCUGAAUUGUUAUACCAGCCACUAAGCGCUCCCUCCAUGGGAGGCACUCAGUCCUUCUCAGCUGUGUUUUGCCCACUGAGUUGUAGGGAUCAGUAAAGCAGCAAUGGAGCAAGAGAAAGCUUUAUCAUCUUGCGCCCAGCCAAAGCACUGCUUGCUCAAGUUUUUUAAUUUCUAGAAGGCCUAAGACUAAAAUUUUCAUGAGUUGAUUAAAGUGCAUUAAUGGAGCAAUGAUACGAGUUUCAAAAUUGUUUGAUAUAGAACAUGUACUUAACGGUUUCUUAUGCUUAUCUUGAAUGAACAGCAGCAUUUGAAUUCACCAGUAUCAAUAACUAUUAACCCAGACUGCUAAAUACAUUUUAGCUACAUUAAUCAUUCAACUGAAGUCUAACAGGAUGGCUGUGCCUACAAGCUAAAAGAAUGUAAACCAUUUAAGAAAUGACAGUUUAUCUAAGCUCAUCCUUUUACAUUUUUAUUGGUUCUUUCCUACAGGAUAAGUUCAUACCACUAACAGAAUAACGCUCCCAUCCAGACCUCUUGAGAGUCUUUUCGCUUGCUCAGCUCUGGUUUAGACACUCUUUUGAUAUACUCAUAGGGAAUGCCUGUUGUUUCUCUGUCAACAUUGCCCCCAAACCAUAAAUGAAGGCAUGUGUGAAAGGAAUUUUGAAAACAGUUAAGCCCAGAGAAGAAUAGUUACAGAAACAUUGUAGUAUUCAGAAGAUGCUUAAUCACUCUCUAAUGAUCACUGAAAUUGAUUCCUUUUGUGUAUAUAUGCCUCUGUCAUCAGAGAAUAUUGAAAUAAAUUGCACUUCAGUGGCAGUUUGAGCAAUUGGGUUUGCAGAAGUGCCCUCAAUUCUAUUUUUUUCUUGGAAACACUUUCCUCUUUGUCUUCAUUAGAUUCACAAAUCAUGUACUGCAAUACUGAUUCCCUUUUUCUCCAAGAAGACUUUGAGCUGCCAAAGUUCCCCUUAAAUCCCCAAUUUCAGUACAGGAUGGGGGAUGAUGUGAUUGGGAGCGGCUCUGCAGAGAAGGACUUAGGGUGCUCAUGGAUGAGAAGCUCGACAUGAUCCGUCAAUGUGCGCUCGCAGCCCAGAAGGCCAACCGUGUCCUGGGCUGCAUCAAACGAAGCGUGGCCAGCAGGGUGAGGGGGGGGAUCUGCCCCUCUGCUCCUCUCUGGUGAGACUUCAUCUGGAGUAUCGUGUCCAGUUCUGGAAUCCUCGAUGUAAGAAGGAUAUGGACCUGUUGGAAAGGGUCCAGAGGAGGGCUACAGGGAUGAUCAGAGGAACAGAGCACCUCCUAUCCAAGGACAGGCUGAGAGAGUUGGGGUUGUUCAGCCUGAAGAAAAGGCUCCGAGGACACUUUAGAGUGAAACUUCCAGUACCUGAAAGGGACUACAAGAAAGCUGCGGAGGGACUGUUUACAAAGGCUUAUAGUGAUAAGGACUAGAGAUAACCUGGAGAGGGGCAGAUUUAGACUAGACAUAAGGAAGAAUUUCUUCACCAUGAGGGUGGUGAGGCACUGACACAGGUUGCCCAGGAAAGCUGUGGCUGCCCCAUCCCUGGAGGUGUUCAAGGUUGGGCUGGAUGGGGCCUUGGGCAGCCUGGGCUGGUGGGAGGUGUCCCUGCCCACAGCAGGGGGGUUGAAACUGCAUGAUCUUUAAGAUCGUUUCCAACCCAAACUAUUCUAUGAUUCUGUGAUUCUAAAACCCCAAUUUUUGUAAUAAGCUUAGAUAACGAAAGGUAGGUGCUACUUGCUCAGUGCAAACCAUUUGCUUACUCACCAUUGUUUCACCAUGUUUCAAGGAAAACACCAGACUGGAUGUGUAAGAUACUCUUCCCAGGUUUUAUUGCAGCUAUUUACUGUGAUGAAAUCAUAAACUACGUCACCUUCCUAGACUUCUUGCUCAAAUUCCAAAGGUCUUUAUCUUGAAUUCUCUGAUCUUUUAAAUCAUUGUUUCAGUAAACAUUUCUAUUAUUUCUUUCACACCAAUUCACCUAGACUAGAACACAAUGCAGACUCUUCCCUCACUAGAAACUGAUCGGCCCUGAUAAAUGUUGUCCUUCCUAAGCAGCACAGCUAGCCAAAAUAACCUAUAUGUUUUCCUAGUUGGGAUGGGAAAUUGUAAGGAAACAAGAGUCUUUUUAAUGCAAUUAAGCCUGUUUUCAGGAUCUGUAAUUACAAUUCCUGCUUUCUCAAGCAUGGGAGGAUUCAGAACACAAGAGUAUCUUCCUGCUUCAGCCUCUUUUAGCCAGAAUCAAGUACAAAGGCCUCUGACUUCCCUGGGCAGCUUCAGAGCUGCUUUGGGCUUUGUUGUUAUGUUGUUCCUGAGCUCUGCCUUUGUUUUCUUUUAACGUCUCCUACGUACUUCCAGGCUCCCCAAGCAGGUGCAGAACGUUCUCUGCCCACAGUGUUCAAACUGCUGAGCAACGCUGGAAUUACCUUUGCUUUGUGAAAGAAACGUUUGUUUAGUUUCUCUUGCAGCCCUAUUUAUUGAGAGAUGGUGGUCACGUCCUGCAGUUUCAACCUAACCUACAAACACUAUGCAAAGGACUAUCUCAGAAGGGUGUGAGAGAAAGAUCAUCACUACUUGUUGUAGACAAAACCUAUGUGUUCUCAAAAUAAGAAGCAUUUGGUUCUUGUACAGUGAAACUAUCUGUAUUAAAAUGUUAUUCAAAACAGUGUUUCCAAGUGUGUCUAGGCCUGCUAGUGACAGGUCUUGGUGAACUGCCAUUGUCCCUGUGAUGCCUGAGAGCACAAAAGAAAGUCAACAAUUUUGUCCCUGUUUUGUAGUAGAAAAACAAAAUAUUGGAAAAAUGUAUCAAUAAGGUGAUUUUCUCUUUACUGCAAAAUCAUGAUUAAGGCAGAGUUGAAACUGUAUCAUAGAAUUUGACUCAACGUGUGAAAUAUUCCCGGCACGGAGAUUCCCAGUUAAGCCAAAGUCAAUUGGGAUGUCUGGGACAAUAUGUAAAUUUCACCAUUGGUAUAAGUAAUAAACCAUCAAAAUAAUUAUUUUCAAAGAAUUGGGUAUUUAGACUUCUAAAUAGUUGUUACACACUUUGGUCACAACAGUUGUCAAAUAAUUGGUGACUACCAGUGCUUUUUAGUGCUCUCCUAAUUAUUUUGUGUGAUUUUUAUAUACGCUCUGUGGAAGCAGAUACGCUAAGAACUAGACAGGCAUCCAAACUCUGUGUUUAACUGAUGAACAGGUUGAAGCCUGUGGUGAUGAAGGAGACGCAGACCUCAUAGUUUUCUCUAAGCAUAUUCUUUUAAUCAGCACGGCAUACAGGAGUCAAAUUAAGGCAGUCCUACUGGCUUCUCUCAUUCAGGCAGAUCUUUAUUCGGUUUUCUGAAAUUCAGACAAACAGGAUGUUUUUGGUUUUGUCUAUUCCACACUCUCAUGACUGUUUUCAGUCACAUCUCCAAUCCACUUAUUCCCAGACAUUUUUUUCCAGUGUGGCCUUCUCAGACAUUCAAGAUUCGUCAUCCUGUGUGUCUAGCUCGGAACACCUGAUCUUUUAAAAGUGUUUAUUCUAAUAUGCUUAAUACCAGCUUCAUGCUUUAUCUUGGUCCCAAUUAAUCUUCCAUAUACUUGGCAUUGCUCCCACAAAGCCCAUGCUUUUAUUGGACUAACCAGCGGCAGAACUGGCCAUAUACAAUAUAUGCUGGCGGAUAAAUGCUGCUUGCAGAACUGCAGUUAUUGGUGCCAAUGGGCAUCGUUUCCUCCGCCUUGGGGAGCCGCAGGGAUUCCCAGAGCAGGUGGCAUGUGGGGAGCACGGCCAGCCGGCCAGAUUGUCCCGCAUGGAGAUGCCUGUGGAAGUGUCCAUGACUGGGCUCACAGAGCCUGCCAGGCCGGGGGAACGGGCAGCAGGUGAGCGCAGGAGCCUUUGCUGAGCUUUGGCACUUACCUCUUGGGCAGGGGUUAUGCACAACGUGAGUUUUAAAAGGAAGAAGGGGAAAAAAAUGAAUGUUUUGCGUUGCUGUGAGCUCCCGCUCUUAGAGCCUCGGUGGAGGUGGCCGCAACUUUCCUUGUACCCGGGAACGACGCAGCCGGGGCCGCCCGCGCUUUGAAAAUAGCGCGCAGCUCCCUCCGCGGGCAGCCCGGCGCUCGCGUCCCCCCCCCCCCCGAGCCCAGCGCCGUCCCGAGCCUCGGCCGCGGAGCGACCCGCACCCGCGGGAGCCGCGCUGCCCGCCCCGGGGGCACCGGGAGGGCGGCAUCGCCGGGACCGACAGCGCCGCGGGGGGGGCCGGUCAAAGCGUCCGUACAGCGUGUGCUGCAUCGGUGAGAGUAUAUGGACUGUGUACCUAUGAGUACUGUAUGUGUCAUAGUAUAGA